RNAcentral lists this ribosomal RNA (2893 nucleotides) under Escherichia coli E851/71. Its description in RNAcentral is "bacterial LSU rRNA". It matches the Rfam family "Bacterial large subunit ribosomal RNA". Lineage: Bacteria; Pseudomonadati; Pseudomonadota; Gammaproteobacteria; Enterobacterales; Enterobacteriaceae. The record is from RNAcentral.
ACUAAGCGUACACGGUGGAUGCCCUGGCAGUCAGAGGCGAUGAAGGACGUGCUAAUCUGCGAUAAGCGUCGGUGAGGUGAUAUGAACCGUUAUAACCGGCGAUUUCCGAAUGGGGAAACCCAGUGUGUUUCGACACACUAUCAUUAACUGAAUCCAUAGGUUAAUGAGGCGAACCGGGGGAACUGAAACAUCUAAGUACCCCGAGGAAAAGAAAUCAACCGAGAUUCCCCCAGUAGCGGCGAGCGAACGGGGAGGAGCCCAGAGCCUGAAUCAGUGUGUGUGUUAGUGGAAGCGUCUGGAAAGGCGCGCGAUACAGGGUGACAGCCCCGUACACAAAAAUGCACAUAUUGUGAGCUCGAUGAGUAGGGCGGGACACGUGGUAUCCUGUCUGAAUAUGGGGGGACCAUCCUCCAAGGCUAAAUACUCCUGACUGACCGAUAGUGAACCAGUACCGUGAGGGAAAGGCGAAAAGAACCCCGGCGAGGGGAGUGAAAAAGAACCUGAAACCGUGUACGUACAAGCAGUGGGAGCCUCUUAAUGGGGUGACUGCGUACCUUUUGUAUAAUGGGUCAGCGACUUAUAUUCUGUAGCAAGGUUAACCGAAUAGGGGAGCCGAAGGGAAACCGAGUCUUAACUGGGCGUUAAGUUGCAGGGUAUAGACCCGAAACCCGGUGAUCUAGCCAUGGGCAGGUUGAAGGUUGGGUAACACUAACUGGAGGACCGAACCGACUAAUGUUGAAAAAUUAGCGGAUGACUUGUGGCUGGGGGUGAAAGGCCAAUCAAACCGGGAGAUAGCUGGUUCUCCCCGAAAGCUAUUUAGGUAGCGCCUCGUGAAUUCAUCUCCGGGGGUAGAGCACUGUUUCGGCAAGGGGGUCAUCCCGACUUACCAACCCGAUGCAAACUGCGAAUACCGGAGAAUGUUAUCACGGGAGACACACGGCGGGUGCUAACGUCCGUCGUGAAGAGGGAAACAACCCAGACCGCCAGCUAAGGUCCCAAAGUCAUGGUUAAGUGGGAAACGAUGUGGGAAGGCCCAGACAGCCAGGAUGUUGGCUUAGAAGCAGCCAUCAUUUAAAGAAAGCGUAAUAGCUCACUGGUCGAGUCGGCCUGCGCGGAAGAUGUAACGGGGCUAAACCAUGCACCGAAGCUGCGGCAGCGACACUAUGUGUUGUUGGGUAGGGGAGCGUUCUGUAAGCCUGUGAAGGUGGCCUGUGAGGGUUGCUGGAGGUAUCAGAAGUGCGAAUGCUGACAUAAGUAACGAUAAAGCGGGUGAAAAGCCCGCUCGCCGGAAGACCAAGGGUUCCUGUCCAACGUUAAUCGGGGCAGGGUGAGUCGACCCCUAAGGCGAGGCCGAAAGGCGUAGUCGAUGGGAAACAGGUUAAUAUUCCUGUACUUGGUGUUACUGCGAAGGGGGGACGGAGAAGGCUAUGUUGGCCGGGCGACGGUUGUCCCGGUUUAAGCGUGUAGGCUGGUUUUCCAGGCAAAUCCGGAAAACCAAGGCUGAGGCGUGAUGACGAGGCACUACGGUGCUGAAGCGACAAAUGCCCUGCUUCCAGGAAAAGCCUCUAAGCAUCAGGUAACAUCAAAUCGUACCCCAAACCGACACAGGUGGUCAGGUAGAGAAUACCAAGGCGCUUGAGAGAACUCGGGUGAAGGAACUAGGCAAAAUGGUGCCGUAACUUCGGGAGAAGGCACGCUGAUAUGUAGGUGAAGCGACUUGCUCGUGGAGCUGAAAUCAGUCGAAGAUACCAGCUGGCUGCAACUGUUUAUUAAAAACACAGCACUGUGCAAACACGAAAGUGGACGUAUACGGUGUGACGCCUGCCCGGUGCCGGAAGGUUAAUUGAUGGGGUUAGCGGCAACGCGAAGCUCUUGAUCGAAGCCCCGGUAAACGGCGGCCGUAACUAUAACGGUCCUAAGGUAGCGAAAUUCCUUGUCGGGUAAGUUCCGACCUGCACGAAUGGCGUAAUGAUGGCCAGGCUGUCUCCACCCGAGACUCAGUGAAAUUGAACUCGCUGUGAAGAUGCAGUGUACCCGCGGCAAGACGGAAAGACCCCGUGAACCUUUACUAUAGCUUGACACUGAACAUUGAGCCUUGAUGUGUAGGAUAGGUGGGAGGCUUUGAAGUGUGGACGCCAGUCUGCAUGGAGCCGGCCUUGAAAUACCACCCUUUAAUGUUUGAUGUUCUAACGUGGGCCCCUUACCGGGGUUGCGGACAGUGUCUGGUGGGUAGUUUGACUGGGGCGGUCUCCUCCUAAAGAGUAACGGAGGAGCACGAAGGUUGGCUAAUCCUGGUCGGACAUCAGGAGGUUAGUGCAAUGGCAUAAGCCAGCUUGACUGCGAGCGUGACGGCGCGAGCAGGUGCGAAAGCAGGUCAUAGUGAUCCGGUGGUUCUGAAUGGAAGGGCCAUCGCUCAACGGAUAAAAGGUACUCCGGGGAUAACAGGCUGAUACCGCCCAAGAGUUCAUAUCGACGGCGGUGUUUGGCACCUCGAUGUCGGCUCAUCACAUCCUGGGGCUGAAGUAGGUCCCAAGGGUAUGGCUGUUCGCCAUUUAAAGUGGUACGCGAGCUGGGUUUAGAACGUCGUGAGACAGUUCGGUCCCUAUCUGCCGUGGGCGCUGGAGAACUGAGGGGGGCUGCUCCUAGUACGAGAGGACCGGAGUGGACGCAUCACUGGUGUUCGGGUUGUCAUGCCAAUGGCACUGCCCGGUAGCUAAAUGCGGAAGAGAUAAGUGCUGAAAGCAUCUAAGCACGAAACUUGCCCCGAGAUGAGUUCUCCCUGACCCUUUAAGGGUCCUGAAGGAACGUUGAAGGCGACGACGUUGAUAGGCCGGGUGUGUAAGCGCAGCGAUGCGUUGAGCUAACCGGUACUAAUGAACCGUGAGGCUUAACC